GCAAGUCGAGCGAACAGAUAAGGAGCCUGCUCCUUUGAAGUUAGCGGCGGACGGGUGAGUAACACGUGGGUAACCUACCUAUAAGACUGGGAUAACUUCGGGAAACCGGAGCUAAUACCGGAUAACAUUUAGAACCGCAUGGUUCUAAAGUGAAAGAUGGUUUUGCUAUCACUUAUAGAUGGACCCGCGCCGUAUUAGCUAGUUGGUAAGGUAACGGCUUACCAAGGCGACGAUACGGAGCCGACCUGAGAGGGGGAGC
Molecule: ribosomal RNA, 259 nt
Filed under: uncultured bacterium
Lineage: Bacteria
Description: partial 16S ribosomal RNA
Rfam family: Bacterial small subunit ribosomal RNA
Source: RNAcentral